UAACUGCAAGUACCUACAAAGAGCAUAGCUUGUGCUCCACAAAUGCUUAUUUUUAAAGUUAAAUUUGGGUUGAGCUAUCUUUCUUUGUAGAACAUUCCAGAUCUCUCCAAAUUUUACUGUGGCUUUUAGUAAGGGGCCAUGAUGAGAAUGUAGCAGGAUUGGGUAAGUUGUCUAGCACAUUCCAAUUGGACCUGUGUGAAAUGGCACUGGACAAGGGAAGACUAAUAUUUAUUGAUGCUCUAUUAUGAGCCAGGAAUAGUACCAUGUGCUUGACAUGUGCUAUCUCAUUUCAUUCUCAAAACAACCACACAAAGGAGAUGAUGUAAUCAUCUCUAUUUUAGAGAUGGAAAAACCGGGGCCACAAAGUUGCUGAAUGGCAGAGCUGAGUUGGUAGAUCUGUUUGAUUUCGAUGCCAGUUACCUUGCUUGAAUGUGUCCCUCAUCUGGAGGAAAUUCCACAGAAGUAUCCUAUGGAAGUUACUGAAAAGUUUAUGUUAAGCAGAUACAGAUUCCUUGGAGCCUGACCUGAUGCUCUGAUGUUUACUUUUCUUUGUGUGAGUGUGAGGAGAGGUGUACUUGAAGGAGGAGUAGGUAUGAUAAUGGAUAUAUUAGAAUUCAUUCGUGUUCCCUGGGAUAAGAUCUUGGUUCUGUCUCCUCCUUGCUCUCCACAGAAACACCCCCUGCCAUAUCAGCCAGGUCAGAGCUGCAGCAGGCUCCAGCAACUGUUUGAAAGUCUUGAGCAUUGUCAGAUCUCGGAGGAGAUCAAAAGAAACAGUCAAGCCGUAUGGAGAGGGGAGGAGGCCAGAGAGAACUGACCUGCCACAUUCUUUCAGACCUCCAAGCUGGCAGGAGACUGCAUUCCCUGAACACCACUCCUAAACCUCCUGGAUACAGCAGUCUCCACCCUGGGCCCAGAGGCUUCUCUGGGGGAAAGAGGCAAAGACACGCCAGGAAAAUGAUCAUUUCAGGAACUGUGAAGUGUUAAAGAGAAAGUAUAUUAGAACUAUUAUGAAGUCACAGGAGAAGCCAUAUGAGUUGUCAGUGGUUGCUGUCUUUGCUACCCUUUCUUAAUGAUGCUGGCUCCCAUAUCUCAGCUUCAACUAGAGUCCUUUCAUAGAAUUGUCCCUCUCCCUCUCCCUCCCCCUCCCUCCCCCUCCCCCUCCCCCUCUCCCCACGGUCUCCCUCUCCCUCUCUUUCCACGGUCUCCCUCUGAUGCCAAGAUGAAGCUGGACUGUACUGCUGCCUUCUCGGCUCACUGCAACCUCCCUGCCUGAUUCUCCUGCCUCAGCCUGCCCAGUGCCUGGGAUUGCAGGCGCGUGCCGCCACACCUGACUGGUUUUCGUAUUUUUUUGGUGGAGACGGGGUUUCGCUGUGUUGGCCUGCCUGGUCUCCAGCUCCUAACCGCGAGUGAUCUGCCAGCCUCGGCCUCCUGAGGUGCUGGGAUUGCAGACGGAGUCUCUCAUUCACUCAGUGCUCAAUGUUGCCCAGGCUGGAGUGCAGUGGCGUGAUCUCGGCUCGCUACAACCUCCACCUCUCAGCUGCCUGCCUUGGCCUCCCAAAGUGCCGAGAUUGCAGCCUCUGCCCGGCCGCCACCCCGUCUGGGAAGUGGGGAGCGUCUCCCUGGCCGCCCAUCUUCUGGGAUGUGAGGAGCCCCUCUGCCCGGCUGCCCAGUCUGGGAAGUGAGGAGUGCCUCUUCCCGGCCGCCAUCCCGUCUAGGAAGUGAGGAAUGUCUCUGCCCGGCCACCCAUCAUCUGGGAUGUGAGGAGCGCCUCUGCCCGGCCACGACCCUGUCUGGGAGGUGAGGAGCAUCUCUGCCCGGCAGCCGCCCCGUCUGGGAAGUCAGGAGUGUCUCCGCCCGGCAGCGCCCAGUCUGGGAGGUGGGGGGCAGCCCCCACCUGGCCAGCCGCCCCGUCCGGGAGGGAGGUGGGGGCACCUCCGCCUGGCCGCCGCCCCGUCCGGGAGGUGGGGGGCGCCUCUGCCCGGCCGCCCCUUCUGGGAAGUGAGGAGCCCCUUUGCCCGGCUGCCACCCCGUCUGGGAGGUGUACCCAACAGCUCAUUGAGAACGGGCCAUGAUGACGAUGGCGGUUUUGUCGAAUAGAAAAGGGGGAAAUGUGGGGAAAAGAUAGAGAAAUCAGAUUGUUGCUGUGUCUGUGUAGAAAGAAGUAGACAUAGGAGACUCCAUUUUGUUCUGUACUAAGAAAAAUUCUUCUGCCUUGGGAUGCUGUUAAUCUAUGACCUUACCCCCAACCCUGUGCUCUCUGAAACAUGUGCUGUGUCCACUCAGGGUUGGAUGGAUUAAG
Molecule: long non-coding RNA, 2299 nt
Filed under: Homo sapiens (human)
Lineage: Eukaryota; Metazoa; Chordata; Mammalia; Primates; Hominidae
Description: HSALNT0062041
Source: RNAcentral